This 490-nucleotide ribosomal RNA is filed under the name uncultured bacterium. RNAcentral's name for it is "partial 16S ribosomal RNA". It matches the Rfam family "Bacterial small subunit ribosomal RNA", at positions 30 to 507 of the family's 1533-position model. The record is from RNAcentral.
AUUGAACGCUGGCGGCAGGCCUAACACAUGCAAGUCGAACGGUAACAGGAAGCAGCUUGCUGCUUUGCUGACGAGUGGCGGACGGGUGAGUAAUGUCUGGGAAACUGCCCGAUGGAGGGGGAUAACUGCUGGAAACGGUAGCUAAUACCGCAUAACGUCGCAAGACCAAAGAGGGGGACCUUAGGGCCUCUUGCCAUCGGAUGUGCCCAGAUGGGAUUAGCUAGUAGGUGGGGUAACGGCUCACCUAGGCGACGAUCCCUAGCUGGUCUGAGAGGAUGACCAGCCACACUGGAACUGAGACACGGUCCAGACUCCUACGGGAGGCAGCAGUGGGGAAUAUUGCACAAUGGGCGCAAGCCUGAUGCAGCCAUGCCGCGUGUAUGAAGAAGGCCUUCGGGUUGUAAAGUACUUUCAGCGGGGAGGAAGGGAGUAAAGUUAAUACCUUUGCUCAUUGACGUUACCCGCAGAAGAAGCACCGGCUAACUCCGUG